RNAcentral lists this ribosomal RNA (478 nucleotides) under uncultured bacterium. RNAcentral describes it as "partial 16S ribosomal RNA". It matches the Rfam family "Bacterial small subunit ribosomal RNA", at positions 28 to 507 of the family's 1533-position model. The record is from RNAcentral.
GAUGAACGCUGGCGGCGUGCUUAACACAUGCAAGUCGAACGAGAAAUGGAGACGGAAACCUUCGGGCGGAAGGCUUCAUUUCGAGUGGCGGACGGGUGAGUAACGCGUGGGUAACCUGCCUCAUACAGGGGGAUAACAGUUGGAAACGACUGUUAAUACCGCAUAAGACCACAGCACCGCAUGGUGCGGGGGUAAAAACUCCGGUGGUAUGAGAUGGACCCGCGUUCGAUUAGCCAGUUGGCGGGGUAACGGCCCACCAACGCGACGAUCGAUAGCCGAUCUGAGAGGAGGACCGGCCACAAUGGGACUGAGACACGGACCAAACUCCUACGGGAGGCAGCAGUGGGGAAUAUUGCACAAUGGGGGAAACCCUGAUGCAGCGACGCCGCGUGAGUGAAGAAGUACUUCGGUAUGUAAAGCUCUAUCAGCAGGGAAGAAAAUGACGGUACCUGAGUAAGAAGCCCCGGCUAACUACGUG